Long non-coding RNA from Quercus robur (English oak), 755 nucleotides. RefSeq lists it as uncharacterized. The transcript is spliced from 4 exons. The record is from RefSeq and is a predicted model, not a curated record. NCBI's taxonomy places the organism in Eukaryota, Viridiplantae, Streptophyta, Magnoliopsida, Fagales, Fagaceae.
CUAAAUUACUCAGCCUCCCUCACUCAGCUCUCCCUCACUCCCUCACUCCGAACGGCUCUCUCUUACUCCGCAGCCCAUCUCCAGUCAUCGGCUUUCCCUCACUCCGCAGCUCAUCUCCAGGUCCGGCUCUCCCUCACUCGGCUGCUCGUCUCCAGUCACCGGCUCUUUUUUUUUUACCGUCGACCAACAGGUUUGUGCUUUCACCAGUCACCGGUUCUUUUUUUUUUUUUGUAGUUGUUGUUGUUGUUGUUGUUGUUGUUGUUGACCGAUAGCUCAUUUUGCUCAGUUGCUCUGUUUUGAUCUCCAUCAGGUUUGUGCUUUCAUUUUCCUUUUUUUUUGGUUGUUGUUGUUGUUGUUGUGGUUGUAGUUCUGUCUGUGCGCUCUCUAGAGCCUGAACAAGUGCAGAAAAAAGAACCCAACAGAUUUGUGUUGGUUAGUGUGGACUGAGGCUACUUGUGGUUUUGGGAUUCCAAUUAAAUCCAUUCUUUAUUCGCAUAAGAUCCUAAAACGGAGAUGGAAGACACAAACACAGACAAAAACUUGUUGGAUUAAUUUGUUGGUUUGUAAUUAUUCUAAGCCUUUUUAGCAUUUUGUAAUUUUUUAGCCUUUUUAAAUUUGUUGGUUUGUGGAGGAUAAGACAUUUUGUAAUUUCUUACACUUGUGGGAUUUGUUUUGUAACUUUUUAUUUUUUAAUUUCUUGAACUUGUUGGACUUGUGAUACUUAGUUCUUGGACUUAUUGGAUUUAUUUUAUUUU